CAAGUCGAACGAUGAACCUUAGCUUGCUAGGGGGAUUAGUGGCGAACGGGUGAGUAAUAUAUCGGAACGUACCUUGUAAUGGGGGAUAACUAGUCGAAAGAUUAGCUAAUACCGCAUACGCCCUGAGGGGGAAAGUAGGGGAUCUUCGGACCUUACGUUAUAAGAGCGGCCGAUAUCUGAUUAGCUAGUUGGUGGGGUAAUGGCCUACCAAGGCGACGAUCAGUAGCUGGUCUGAGAGGACGACCAGCCACACUGGAACCGAGACACGGUCCAGACUCCUACGGGAGGCAGCAGUGGGGAAUUUUGGACAAUGGGCGAAAGCCUGAUCCAGCCAUUCCGCGUGAGUGAAGAAGGCCUUCGGGUUGUAAAGCUCUUUCGCAAGGGAAGAAAACUUACAUUCUAAUAAAGUGUGAGGCUGACGGUACCUUGAUAAGAAGCACCGGCUAACUACGUGCCAGCAGCCGCGGUAAUACGUAGGGUGCGAGCGUUAAUCGGAAUUACUGGGCGUAAAGCGUGCGCAGGCGGUUUUGUAAGUCAGAUGUGAAAUCCCCGAGCUCAACUUGGGAACUGCGUUUGAAACUACAAGACUAGAAUAUGUCAGAGGGGGGUAGAAUUCCACGUGUAGCAGUGAAAUGCGUAGAGAUGUGGAGGAAUACCAAUGGCGAAGGCAGCCCCCUGGGAUAAUAUUGACGCUCAUGCACGAAAGCGUGGGGAGCAAACAGGAUUAGAUACCCUGGUAGUCCACGCCCUAAACGAUGUCUACUAGUUGUUGGUGGAGUAAAAUCCAUGAGUAACGCAGCUAACGCGUGAAGUAGACCGCCUGGGGAGUACGGUCGCAAGAUUAAAACUCAAAGGAAUUGACGG
Molecule: ribosomal RNA, 864 nt
Filed under: uncultured bacterium
Lineage: Bacteria
Description: bacterial SSU rRNA
Rfam family: Bacterial small subunit ribosomal RNA
Source: RNAcentral